RNAcentral lists this ribosomal RNA (576 nucleotides) under Scinax fuscomarginatus (brown-bordered snouted treefrog). Its description in RNAcentral is "partial 16S ribosomal RNA". It matches the Rfam family "Bacterial large subunit ribosomal RNA", at positions 1819 to 2596 of the family's 2925-position model. The record is from RNAcentral. Lineage: Eukaryota; Metazoa; Chordata; Amphibia; Anura; Hylidae.
CGCCUCUUGAGUAAAAAUAAGAGGUCCAGCCUGCCCAGUGACUAAUAUUCAACGGCCGCGGUAUCCUAACCGUGCGAAGGUAGCGUAAUCACUUGUUCUUUAAAUGAGGACUAGUAUGAACGGCAUCACGAGGGUUAUACUGUCUCCUUUUUCCAAUCAGUGAAUCUAAUCUCCCCGUGAAGAAACAGGGAUAUAACUAUAAGACGAGAAGACCCUAUGGAGCUUUAAAUACCUCUUCAAACGUUGGAAACCCAUCAAGUUUAAAACUUACUCACAUUAACCCUGAACGCUAUGAAGACAACUUUUAGGUUGGGGUGACCGCGGAGAACAACACAACCUCCACGCUGAACUAGACUAUUAAGCCUGAGCCAAGAGCUACUGCUCAACGCACUAAAAAAUUAACAUCUAUUGACCCAAUACAUAAUUUGAUCAACGAACCAAGUUACCCUAGGGAUAACAGCGCAAUCCAUUUUAAGAGUCCAUAUCGACAAGUGGGUUUACGACCUCGAUGUUGGAUCAGGGUAUCCCAGUGGUGCAGCCGCUACUAAUGGUUCGUUUGUUCAACGAUUAAAACCC